This is a long non-coding RNA of Monodelphis domestica (gray short-tailed opossum), 884 nucleotides long. RefSeq lists it as uncharacterized. The record is from RefSeq and is a predicted model, not a curated record. Lineage: Eukaryota; Metazoa; Chordata; Mammalia; Didelphimorphia; Didelphidae.
GUGGCUUUUGCUGGGGUCUGGGCAAUGAGAAAGUUCGGAGCACUUUGGUAUGGGGCAAGAGAGAAAGAAGGAAAUUCUUCGCACAGAGCGCACGGAGACGGUUGCUUGAUAAAGAAGUCGCUGGGGCGGUCUCCUAGGUAGUCUCCCAUUGUAUCAGAGACUCUUUCCCAAGAAGACCCACACCUGGGCAGGAACCAUCCUCUUAGUAUCCAUUUUAACAGAAGGAAGACUGUAGAGUAAAAGAGUACUUCAAUAGUCUAAGCAAGAAAUUAGAAAAAAAUUUUUUUAAGGAUAAGAAAUUUGCUGCCUCCUGGAAUCCAGAGACUGUUCUUCUUGUGGAAGAUGCCAUGGAGAUGCCCGUGGAGACUGAAUGCUGCUCCAGGAGUUCCUGAGUAAAACUGAAUGUGCAGAACUGAACUUUGGGGGUUGAAUACAUUUGUUUAUAUGUGCUUUGUUGUACCACAGGGGACUUCCCCCUAUUUGUUUGUGUUCGUGAUUCUCUUUUGUUUCCUUAUCCCCAAUUUGUUGUAUUUUCCCUGUGUAAAAUUGUAUGUACCUUAAUUUAAUUAUGUUUAAAAUGAUCCAUUGGGGAAACUGGUCUCCCAAAGGAUCUCAGGGGGAUUUGUGCAGAUGGAAAAUUAGCAACACCUGAGCUACCUUCCCAGUGUCCUUUUAAGUUACAUCCUCAUUUUAUGUAAGGAUCCUUUGGAGAUAAAUUUGGCUGAGACCCAUCUGCAGGGCUCUUUUCUCGGGGCUUGUGCUUUUGGUAAAGUACUUCAGGUGUGAAUCUCUGACUCUCUUGGCUCUGCUCACUUGACUGAAAAAAAGCUUUUUUCUUUACCCUUUCUUUUGAUUUAGUAUUAAAAAUCCUAUAUAUUUUUAAA